Molecule: ribosomal RNA, 428 nt
Filed under: uncultured Desulfopila sp.
Lineage: Bacteria; Pseudomonadati; Thermodesulfobacteriota; Desulfobulbia; Desulfobulbales; Desulfocapsaceae
Description: bacterial SSU rRNA
Rfam family: Bacterial small subunit ribosomal RNA
Source: RNAcentral
AGUGAGGAAUAUUGCGCAAUGGGGGAAACCCUGACGCAGCGACGCCGCGUGGAUGAUGAAGGCCUUCGGGUCGUAAAAUCCUGUCAGAAGGGAAGAAGUUGUUUGUAGUUAAUACCUGCAUUCAUUGACGGUACCUUCAAAGGAAGCACCGGCUAACUCCGUGCCAGCAGCCGCGGUAAUACGGAGGGUGCAAGCGUUGUUCGGAAUUACUGGGCGUAAAGCGCGCGUAGGCGGCUAUUUAAGUCAGAUGUGAAAGCCCAUGGCUCAACCAUGGACGUGCAUUUGAAACUGGAUAGCUUGAGUAUCAGAGGGGAUAGUGGAAUUCCCGGUGUAGAGGUGAAAUUCGUAGAUAUCGGGAGGAAUACCGGUGGCGAAGGCGACUAUCUGGCUGAAUACUGACGCUGAGGUGCGAAAGCGUGGGGAGCAAA